AGUCAAUAGAUACCCGGGUAGUCCACGCCGUAAACGAUGAAUGUUAGCCGUCGGGCAGUAUACUGUUCGGUGGCGCAGCUAAACGCAUUAAACAUUCCGCCUGGGGAGUACGGUCGCAAGAUUAAAACUCAAAGGAAUUGACGGGGCCCGGCACAAGCGGUGGAGCAUGUGGUUUAAAUUUACGAAGCAACGCGCAGAACCUUACCAGCCCUUCGACAUGCCCGGCUAGCUGCAGAGAUGCAGUGUUCCCUUCGGGGUACCGGGACGACAGGUGCUGCAUGGCUGUCGUCAGCUCGUGUCGUGAGAUGUUGGGUUAAGUCCCGCAACGAGCGCAACCUCGCCUUACGUUGCCAGCAUUGGUUGGGCACUCUAAGGGACGUGCCGGUGAUAAGCCGAGAGGAAGGUGGGGAUGACGUCAAGUCCUCAUGGCCCUUACGGGCUGGGCUACACACGUGCUACAAUGGUGGUGACAGUGGGCAGCGAGGCCGCGAGGCCGAGCUAAUCUCCAAAA
This 511-nucleotide ribosomal RNA is filed under the name uncultured bacterium. RNAcentral describes it as "bacterial SSU rRNA". It matches the Rfam family "Bacterial small subunit ribosomal RNA", at positions 775 to 1280 of the family's 1533-position model. The record is from RNAcentral.